This 86-nucleotide microRNA precursor is filed under the name Otolemur garnettii (small-eared galago). Its description in RNAcentral is "miRNA (ENSOGAG00000033790.1)". The record is from RNAcentral. Lineage: Eukaryota; Metazoa; Chordata; Mammalia; Primates; Galagidae.
GCUCUGGCUCCGCGGGCGGAAGAGGCGGCGGCGGCGGCAGAAGCGGCGGCGGCGGCGGCGGGAGCCAAGGAGGCGGCUCCGGACGC